Molecule: long non-coding RNA, 936 nt
Filed under: Equus asinus (donkey)
Lineage: Eukaryota; Metazoa; Chordata; Mammalia; Perissodactyla; Equidae
Description: lncRNA (ENSEASG00005028646.1)
Source: RNAcentral
UGAGUAUCCACACAUAUUUUCAACUGCCUGAUGCAUAUUUCUAACUGAGAGUCUAAUAGGGAGAGCAAAAUUCUUUACUCAAACCUCCUGAUUUUGUUCACUGGAAAUCACUUUCUUGGUGCUUUUCCUAAUCGGUCACCACUCUCUUCUCUGGAAUAAGACAAGGAGAGAGGAGUUUCUAUCAUUUUCAGGUAAUAUCUUGCUCUUAUGAUAAUUACUCUGUGAAGGUAGUAGUUUGCUUUGCACUCCUAUAAGUAGUUAAUAAAUACCUGUUUUAAGAUUGAUGGAAAGAUGAGAAGAAAAAGAAACAAACAUACCUUUUGCCUUAUAUUUAUUAUUUUGCUGUAUUGGGCAUUGGAGAUUAGAAAAUGUGCUACAACAAAUCAAUAAGAAAACAGCCAUAGAUCUAAAUACACCAAAUUUAGCUCUACUAGAGAAAUAAUUCCUUCUCACAACUUCAACAAUAUUUGACAUUUCUACAUAGUUUAUUACCUACCCUUUACCUUAAGAUCACCUUUCUGAAGCCAGUAUCAAAUCUCUAAAAUAUCCUAGUCCCUCCUCUAAAAUUCCUCACUCCUUCAUAGGCAAUCAGAACUUUCUAGCAUUCUUUUUCAUUUUUUAAGGAGGGAAUUAAGGGAAACCUGAACUGUAGAUUAAAAAAACAAACCACUUUUUUUGGCCUAUAACUCGUAGUAAGGAAAGUAUCUUACAAGGCAACCCAGCACAUGCACACACAUAAAUGGAAUGAAUGUUUAUGCAAAAAUAACAGACUUUACCAUGUGUGAUGUACUCUUAGAUUUUUCUAUUCUUUUCUAUAUUUAUCUAUCUAAUAAAAACUGCUAGUAACAACCAGUAAAUUUAUUUCAUGACCCAUAAUGGUACAUGACCCAGUUUUAAAAUACUGGUCUAGAGGAGAUGUUUUGAAAUGAGCAUCAU